Molecule: non-coding RNA, 261 nt
Organism: Oncorhynchus mykiss (rainbow trout)
Lineage: Eukaryota; Metazoa; Chordata; Actinopteri; Salmoniformes; Salmonidae
Source: RefSeq, a predicted model, not a curated record
GGGGGGACAGACCACAAGGUGGAGCAGCAUGGUGGGGUUGGACAGACAACAAGGUGGAGCAGCGUGGUGGGGUUGGACAGACCACAAGGUGGAGCAGCGUGGUGGGGUUGGACAGACAACAAGGUGGAGCAGCGUGGUGGGGUUGGACAGACAACAAGGUGGAGCAGCGUGGUGGGGUUGGACAGACAACAAGGUGGAGCAGCGUGGUGGGGUUGGACAGACAACAAGGUGGAGCAGCGUGGUGGGGUUGGACAGACAACA